RNAcentral lists this non-coding RNA (104 nucleotides) under Clostridium bornimense. RNAcentral describes it as "Guanine sequence". It matches the Rfam family "Purine riboswitch aptamer". From Rfam's summary of the family: Riboswitches are metabolite binding domains within certain messenger RNAs that serve as precision sensors for their corresponding targets. Allosteric rearrangement of mRNA structure is mediated by ligand binding, and this results in modulation of gene expression. A class of riboswitches that selectively recognises guanine and becomes saturated at concentrations as low as 5 nM. The record is from Rfam by way of RNAcentral. Lineage: Bacteria; Bacillati; Bacillota; Clostridia; Eubacteriales; Clostridiaceae.
AAAAAUAAAUAAUUGUUCGCUUAUAUAAGUCCUAUGAUAUGGUUAGGAUGUCUCUACUGAGCUACCGUAAAUUGCUCUACGCUAUAAGUAUCUAUCAUUAUUUU